GGGACGAACGCUGGCGGCGUGCUUAACACAUGCAAGUCGAGCGGAAAGGCCUUUCGGGGUACUCGAGCGGCGAACGGGUGAGUAACACGUGAGUAAUCUGCCCAUCGCUUCAGGAUAGCCAUCGGAAACGGUGAUUAAUACUGGAUAUGACAUUCCUUCGCAUGUUGGGGUGUGGAAAGGUUUUUCGGCGGUGGAUGUGCUCGCGGCCUAUCAGCUUGUUGGUGGGGUAAUGGCCUACCAAGGCUUUGACGGGUAGCCGGCCUGAGAGGGUGACCGGCCACGACUGGGACUGAGACACGGCCCAGACUCCUACGGGAGCAGCAGUAGGGAAUAUUGGACAAGUGGG
This 346-nucleotide ribosomal RNA is filed under the name uncultured soil bacterium. RNAcentral's name for it is "bacterial SSU rRNA". It matches the Rfam family "Bacterial small subunit ribosomal RNA", at positions 27 to 376 of the family's 1533-position model. The record is from RNAcentral.